AUUGAACGCUGGCGGCAUGCCUUACACAUGCAAGUCGAACGGCAGCGGGGGAGAAGCUUGCUUUUCCUGCCGGCGAGUGGCGAACGGGAGAGUAAUACAUCGGAACGUGCCCUGUAGUGGGGGAUAACUAGUCGAAAGAUUAGCUAAUACCGCAUACGACCUGAGGGUGAAAGUGGGGGACCGCAAGGCCUCAUGCUAUAGGAGCGGCCGAUGUCUGAUUAGCUAGUUGGUGGGGUAAAGGCCUACCAAGGCGACGAUCAGUAGCUGGUCUGAGAGGACGAUCGUCCACACUGGGACUGGGACACGGCCCAGACUCCUACGGGAGGCAGCAGUGGGGAAUUUUGGACAAUGGGCGAAAGCCUGAUCAAGCAAUGCCGCGUGUGUGAAGAAGGCCUUCGGGUUGUAAAGCACUUUUGUCCGGAAAGAAAUGGCUCUGGUUAAUACCUGGGGUCGAUGACGGUACCGGAAGAAUAAGGACCGGCUAACUACGUGCCAGCCGCCGCAGUAA
RNAcentral lists this ribosomal RNA (508 nucleotides) under uncultured bacterium. RNAcentral describes it as "partial 16S ribosomal RNA". It matches the Rfam family "Bacterial small subunit ribosomal RNA", at positions 30 to 523 of the family's 1533-position model. The record is from RNAcentral.